Molecule: long non-coding RNA, 579 nt
Organism: Centropristis striata (black sea bass)
Lineage: Eukaryota; Metazoa; Chordata; Actinopteri; Perciformes; Serranidae
Exons: 4
Source: RefSeq, a predicted model, not a curated record
UGAAACGGAUAAGACCGCAGCGGAGCUCUCGGUGAACGGCACAUCCGGGACCUUCGGCGCUCAGGACAUCCACCGCAUGAGAUGUUUGCAGGUUGAGGAGUAAAUGGCCAAGAAAAGAGCAUGUCAGAAAGAAGAGCCAGACUUCGUCCUGAGGCUGAGGCUACUCAGUUUGUUUUAUCUGGAGGUGACAAGCCUUGUUUAAAGGUCCAGUGGAUCAAUGACUAUAAAGGACGUGGUGUAUUUGCCUGUGCACCAAUUGAAAAGGGAUCCUUUGUGGUCGAGUACCGUGGGGAGUUGAUCUCACCAUGUGAACGGGACAAGCGGCAGAAAAAGUACACAGAGAAGCAAAAUGCUUUCCUGUUUGAUUUUAAAUGGAACAAUAGCUCAUGGUGCAUUGAUGCUUCCCGUGAAGACGACUCACUGGGCCGGCUGGUUAAUGAUGGCCACAAGUCCUCAAACUGCAAAGUGAAAAAAAUGACAGUCCAGGGUAAACCUCAUCUUUGCUUGUUUGCUAUUGAAGAAAUCCAAGCAGAGAGUGAAAUAACCUAUGACUAUGGAAAAUCUCAGUGGCCAUGGCGA